This is a long non-coding RNA of Hyalella azteca, 726 nucleotides long. RefSeq lists it as uncharacterized. The transcript has 4 exons. The record is from RefSeq and is a predicted model, not a curated record. Lineage: Eukaryota; Metazoa; Arthropoda; Malacostraca; Amphipoda; Hyalellidae.
AUCUUUGCUGUCUGCACCAUCCUUGUGGGAGCUCUCAUAGGGCUGCUGCUGGUGUGCGUGAUCGACUUCCUGUUCCCCCCGAAGCCUGUGACUGCCACGUCCGCCAUGGCCCAACACAUCGACGACACGGAGGAGGACCUCAUUGAGGACCGCAAGGAAGACCACACUGAGGACAAGGAGACUCCUACUGACGAGGAACAAGACGCCAGUGCCCAAGCGUCCAGUCAAGAAGAAGAUGCAGGCAGUCAGCCCGAGGACGGCGCGGCAUCCGCCGACGAUGGCGGCGAAGUUCGCAAGCGAAGACACCGAAGAGCUGACUAGUGGCUAGGGACGGCGUUGAGGGUAGACCAGUAAAGACUUGGAGGGCUGGUCUAAGGACUAGUGACGAGGUGGAGGGAUGGCUAGUGACUAGUGACGACCUUCAGAGCUAUGCUAGUGACUAGUAAAGCGUUUGUGAUUUUUGUGUGAGGAGUAGCUAGUGGCGAGAGGUGCGGAGCAAGUAACUAGGCUGUGUGGAUAGCCGCUAGGGAAGUGGCUGUGCUGUUGUCUUACGAUGCUUUAUUUUGUACUUUAGUACUUAAUGUACUAUUUUCUUAUGAAUGACAGCGAGAAGAGCAUUUUAUACCGAACUUGAAUGAGGGAAGCGAUGUUACAGAACAAAUAGAGACGUGGCCGCUAUCACGUCAUUCAUCAUGGCUGAGUUGAUGCAAUUCAAGUAGGAUACUG